AUUUGUUUAAUUUUAUAAUGAGCUGGUGUACCUGAAGGAGGAGCUGGAGCAAUAUAUAGCAGCACAACCGGGCAGAGGCCUCUGAGUCUGAGAUUGGGAAAACCCGCUGGAUGAUGAGCCUUUUGUUUUAGAUUGAGGUAAUUCGAUCUAAAGGAUGCACCGUGAGGAGGUGGCAUGCCGUGUCAUAUUCAUCUGUUUGCCGAAUGGAGAGUAGUGAGGGAUGUUUCCGAAGCUGUUGUCAGAAGAAAGGGACAAGUCAUGAAGUUUCCUACAAGUUACAAGGCAAUAGUGACUACUAUUCAGAAGCAGUUUUUCCAGUACUGCAGAUUUCCAGGAGUUGCUGUUGAUGGGACACAUGUUUACAUCAGGAGCCCUGGUGGGGCAAGAGCCAGGUACUACUUCAAUAGGAAGAACAGGUACUCCAUCGAUGUUCAGGUUGUCUGUGAUUAUGCUGGGAAAAUAACUAGUAUCGUUGCAAGGUGGCCUGGACUGGUAGCAGCCACGAUGCCAGGAUCUUUUCUGAGUGUGCACUGAAUUGACAGCUUGAUGCUAGGGCAUAUGAAUAACAGUUGAUUCUUGGAGAUAGACUAUAGGGUAUCCAUGCCUUCUCUGCCUCAUCAGAAGCCAUUUCUUCAUUCAGAGGGUCGACCACAGAUGUGCUUUAAAGGCCAUCUGUACUAGUUCAGCCAAAGAGGAUUAGACAACCCAGCAAGGUCACUGACGGGAGGCUAUCUCAUCAAUUCAGUUCUCAAUUA
RNAcentral lists this long non-coding RNA (755 nucleotides) under Strongylocentrotus purpuratus (purple sea urchin). RNAcentral describes it as "uncharacterized LOC115923598". The record is from RNAcentral. Lineage: Eukaryota; Metazoa; Echinodermata; Echinoidea; Camarodonta; Strongylocentrotidae.